AUUGAACGCUGGCGGCAGGCCUAACACAUGCCAGUCGAGCGGAUGAAGGGAGCUUGCUCCUGGAUUCAGCGGCGGACGGGUGAGUAAUGCCUAGGAAUCUGCCUGGUAGUGGGGGAUAACGUCCGGAAACGGGCGCUAAUACCGCAUACGUCCUGAGGGAGAAAGUGGGGGCUCUUCGGACCUCACGCUAUCAGAUGAGCCUAGGUCGGAUUAGCUAGUUGGUGGGGUAAAGGCCUACCAAGGCGACGAUCCGUAACUGGUCUGAGAGGAUGAUCAGUCACACUGGAACUGAGACACGGUCCAGACUCCUACGGGAGGCAGCAGUGGGGAAUAUUGGACAAUGGGCGAAAGCCUGAUCCAGCCAUGCCGCGUGUGUGAAGAAGGUCUUCGGAUUGUAAAGCACUUUAAGUUGGGAGGAAGGGCAGUAAGUUAAUACCUUGCUGUUUUGACGUUACCAACAGAAUAAGCACCGGCUAACUUCGUG
Molecule: ribosomal RNA, 484 nt
Filed under: uncultured bacterium
Lineage: Bacteria
Description: partial 16S ribosomal RNA
Rfam family: Bacterial small subunit ribosomal RNA
Source: RNAcentral